RNAcentral lists this long non-coding RNA (4299 nucleotides) under Olea europaea subsp. europaea. Lineage: Eukaryota; Viridiplantae; Streptophyta; Magnoliopsida; Lamiales; Oleaceae. The record is from RNAcentral.
AGUGAGUUUUGAUAAUUUCCAAAUUGUCUUUUCAGUCAGCUCUCUUCAAUUUCCACUCUUUCCUCACAGUGGUGUUGUUAGGCAUCUGUACCUGCACUUAUUUGAAGAUGCAAUUUCCAGCUCUUCUUGAGCAGAGAACUGGGUAUGUCUUUUUGGUAUAUGGUCCCAUAAUGUGCAAAAUAUUAAUUCUUUAAACCAGUUUUGUAUAUCAUUGAUUUUUUGAUCAUUAAUAUGAUUGAAUUUCUCGAUGGCUGGGAAUCUGAUUUCUGAAUGCUCGAAAGUUUUGUGUCAGAAAUUGAUAAUUGAACACUAUAUUGAUUGUCUGUUCUCAUUUAAUGAUCUAGUGAAAAUUUCAUACGGAUUUAUAGACGUUUUGCAAUCUCUACUUCAUCAACAAAUGCUUUUGUAGAUCAAUUAAUUUAACCAAAGAUAAGUUUUCAUAUUGUUCAACUUGGUUUCGUUAACAUACUAUGUUGCAACAUAUGUUCAAAUAUAGAAUGCUAGUCAACGUGAUCAUUAUAUGGUAUAGCAUUCUAACUGACUCCAGUAGUUAAGCAAGCUAUACUCAGAUAUAUACGUUUUGAGGUAUUUCUCAAGCUAAGAAGCUUUUAUGAUGACUAAGGAAAAGGUUAAUAUCUGAACCAUCAGGCCACUAAAUUGACUAGCAUGUUUACGAUCACUUGGGUUAUUUCUCUUAAAUUGCUAUCUUUAGGCUCAACUAAGGAAAGAGGAGUAAGUUAAAAUGAUCACGCCUAUUAGAGAAAAAACUUGCCACCUUCUUUUUUCCCAAUCACAUAAACAUCUAUCCAUGUUGUUGCAAGAUUUCCACCAUUUACCAAUUUCUCUUUUGAUAGCUUCUACUACCGCUACAGACCUUCCUCUCUCCCUUAACUUAUGGUUAAGGACCACAACUCUGCAAGUAUAGCCACUAAAAUCACCAUUGCAGCUAUAUCUGCCAUCAUCCAAGCUUUGUAAACCAACCCCACUUGGCUACCUUCCUAUAAGGUAUUAUCCAUUUUUUAAUUGAAGGUGCAGAUUAUUUGCAUAAAUGAAACAUAUUUGAAGCUUGACUAAUGUGCUUAUAAGCUCAACUUGUUGAAUUGAGGAUGAUAAAUUACGCUAGAGCUCAAUAAUUUGAGCUUCUUCCUAAGUAUGGAAUCCACGGAUGGGGGAAGUUAUAAUAAAGUUCACAAGUCCUCAAAUUUUAAUGAUGGAAUAGAUGGAAGGUUAUGAACUUCCGUUUUGUGGUUUUGAGUGUAAUUUUAACACAUUCAUCACAUCUUCGCAAAUAUUGUACGAAAUAGUUGUAGCUGUGUAAAGACAGUAUGUAAUGAUAAAUUUAGCUCCUAUUUGUUUCCCAUUAUUUGGUUAUUAAAAUGAAAAAUAUGACCGUUAUCCAUCAUAUCAAGCCAUCAUAUUUGAAUUUUUAUCCCUUAUGUGGGAUCCGUAACAGCUAUAUUUUUCAUUCUCAUUAUUACAUUAAUGAGAAACAAACGGGGAGUUAGUAAGAUAUAGCUUAAUCACAUUUGAAAGGCUCGGUCUCGCUAAUAAAACAGUAGCACUUUAAAUGCAAUCACCUGGAAGUCUUUUUGUCCCAUAUAUAUCAUCUAUACUUUUAGUUGAGUGUAAGAUAGAACUUAAAGCUUGCUUGGCACAUAUUUUUCCAACCAAAAAAUGUUUUUUUUUUUUUUUUUGAGAAUGUGUGAUUGAAAAUGAUUUUAAAAGAAUCUCUGACAAACAAGCCUUUGGGUAAGUUUUUCAAGUAAGAUGUGAGAAUGUGAUCUUAAAAACCUUUUUUUCAUUUGUUUUUGUUUCUGUAAUAUGAUUUGAAAGAGGGCAGAUAGAUUUAUCCUGGUUGGUCUAAAUGAACAGGACUAAACCAUUACCACCUCAUUAACAUCAUGUCCUUUGUCAAAUUGGGACAUGACGCAUGCAGAAAAGGUAAAAUCUGCUUAGAUUGUUUUUCUCCCUUCCGCUUCCCUAUCAAAGUGGAGGGAUGCAAAAUGAUAUGCCUAAUAAUAUCUUUUUAUUUUUGUAUAAUAUGUGCCUUAUCCAACUGUGCAAAUAAACCUUUACAAAUUUCUUCUGCCAAUUUAUGGCAGUGAUAUUUGUUUACUGAGACCUUGGGACUUUGGGUUAACUUACGGCCUCAUCUUUUGAGGAAAGGUAGAGUCCCUAAAAUAGGCACUUGUCAAACUCGGCCCUUGCUUGAGCCCUAUUUUAUCAAAAACUCAUUUAUAAAAAAAUAAUAAUAAUAAAAUAAAAUUAAAAAAAAAAAUUUCAUUUUCAACUACACAUUCUUCAAUAAAAUAAUUUUACACGUAAAUUGAAAUUCUUUUUCUUAUUUUUUAACUACGUAUUCUCCAAAAAACACUAUUCCAAUAUCCCCCCGGCCCCCCAAGAAAAAAAUGGGGCUCAAACAAGGGCUGAAUUUGCCUACUGGUUGAGUUGCAUCAAAUCAGGAUAAUAAGAAAGAUCGUACAGCUUGUACUGGACUCAUAGAAUCGCUGGGGCCUAUAUAAUUUUCUGUUUAAACUUGUAUGCUUGACUUGUUUUCUCUACAGCCAUACACUUGGCACUAACUGAUAUGGUUGUGGAUUUUCUGCAAUCAUGAUAUAUUUAUGCAAUUCCCAGUGUCAGCAGAGAAAUAAAUUGCACCAUGUUAGCUUAUUUCUGUUCCUCUAGCUUUCUUAUACAUAUCAUUAUAUUUAUUUGUGUUUAUGUAUUAGGUUUAUUUUAUUUCAAUUUUUCUUUGAUUAAAACUUGUUCUUAUUCAUGCUAAAAGUACCAAUGUGGCAGGUUUGUAGGUGUCUUCUGGAAGGCUGCUAGAAUAGGUACGAUUUACUUGAACACUACAUGUAACAAUGCUGGUCUUGAAGGAAUUCAUGGUUCAUAAUGUAUCCUUUUUGAAUUUAUUCUGGAAAAAAUAUAUCCCUUUUGAAUUUAUUCUGGAAAAAGUAACAGAUAAUCUAUUUGAUCUGUUUGUUAAUUUUCUCUUACCUGCUCUUGUUUCUGACAUCAUUCUUUGUUUCAACUUCUCACCAGGAAAAAGCAAACUGGUUGUGUAUUUAUGAAUAUAUUCAUGUACUCUUAGAACUUCUUGGGCUGCUUUUUUGUUCAAGACUUUUCAUCUGAAAUUUUAUCUUGAGAAAAUGAUCAGUUAAGAAGAGCAAAACAUUCCUCAGUUGUUUUAUUGGGGUUCAUUUAAAACUUAAGGGUAAUUGCUGCUGGUUGAAAGACUUUGAUGGCAGUUAGGUGUUCCUUACAUUUUUUGGUUUUAAAUUUUGGAAUAAUAGUGGACACUUGUUAUUUUAGUUUUAAAAUUUUCUUGGUUAAUAGAAAAACAAGAAAAAGAUUGAUGAUAUUUAUUGCUAUAGUUUCCAUCUAUGUGUGACCAUUGAAGGUUAACUGAUGCUUGUCAUAUGAAUUUUGUAUGAAGUUUAACGUAUGCUUUGAAAUUCGAAGUUUAACGUAUGCUUUGAAAUUCUGACACUGUUAUAUAAUUCCUUGAAUAGGCGAGAGAUUGAGUCCUUGGGUGGCUGUAGGAUGCUUCACAAUGGGUGUCUCAAUAAUCUUCUUCUAAGAGGAGAGCUGUUUACAAGUACUCCAACAACCAUUUCAAUCCUGUAGUUGUUUUAUACUGCUUCAUGCAGCUGAAAGCAAAAUUAGUGGACUUGUUUGAAUGCCACAGAUGUGUUCUUUAUUGUGACUUGUAUGUUGUCAUGUUUUUAGUGCGAAAUUUCCUUUGAUUAUUCAAAGACAUUUCUGCUGAUCCUUGUAAACACUACACAAUUUUUUUUCCCUCACUUCUAGGUACGUUUUUGCUUUUCAUGCCAGCAUCUUUCCGUGUCUGGUGCGUGGGAGGAUACAAGUGAACAACAGCAAACUAUGCUUUGUUCUCAAUAAAUUUGGAGUUGGCUACAUAACAUUUUCUUUGCCACUUCUUUCAGUUGGUCGCUAGUUCUAUUGAACGAACUAAAGCAACAUGAUGCUUAGCAACUAAAAUAAGCUAUCCUUACCUUUCCUAAAGCGUUCUACCUAGAUCAAUUCACUCUUAUGAAGGAAGUCUCUUUAGGUUUCUGCAUGACAUGUCCCAACUGGUGCUGCCUCUGUCAUAAAUGUUCAUUUAUUAUUUAUCCAUUUUAGUAUGAGGUGGAAAAUAAGUAAUUGUAUUUCAUUAUAGGGGUGCUACCUAUCAAAAAAAGAAAAAUUAUAGGGGUGUAAGUUGAUCCCUUCUGAAAAGUUGGAGGAUGAAUUAAUACCAUUUAGAAGUGUACUAAUUCUUGCCCUCCCUUUGAU